AACGAACGCUGGCGGCAGGCCUAACACAUGCAAGUCGAGCGCUCUAACCACUUCGGUGGGGACGGGAGCGGCGGACGGGUUAGUAACGCGUGGGAAUAUGCCCAAAGGUACGGAAUAGCCUCUGGAAACGGAGAGUAAUACCGUAUGUGCCCUUCGGGGAAAGAUUUAUCGCCUUUGGAUUAGCCCGCGUUAGAUUAGAUAGUUGGUGGGGUAAUGGCCUACCAAGUCUACGAUCUAUAGCUGGUUUUAGAGGAUGAUCAGCAACACUGGGACUGAGACACGGCCCAGACUCCUACGGGAGGCAGCAGUGGGGAAUCUUGGACAAUGGGCGCAAGCCUGAUCCAGCCAUGCCGCGUGAGUGAUGAAGGCCUAGGGUCGUAAAGCUCUUUCGCCUGUGAUGAUAAUGACAGUAGCAGGUA
RNAcentral lists this ribosomal RNA (419 nucleotides) under uncultured bacterium. RNAcentral describes it as "bacterial SSU rRNA". It matches the Rfam family "Bacterial small subunit ribosomal RNA", at positions 29 to 484 of the family's 1533-position model. The record is from RNAcentral.